Molecule: ribosomal RNA, 395 nt
Filed under: uncultured fungus
Lineage: Eukaryota; Fungi
Description: partial small subunit ribosomal RNA
Rfam family: Eukaryotic small subunit ribosomal RNA
Source: RNAcentral
GCUUGUCUCAAAGAUUAAGCCAUGCAUGUCUAAGUAUAAACAACUCGUACUUGUGAAACUGCGAAUGGCUCAUUAAAUCAGUUAUAGUUUAUUUGAUGGUAUUUUUUUCUUACUUGGAUAACCGUUUGAAAAUAGAGCUAAUACAUGCCUAGAAACCUGACCGUAAGGAAGGGUUGUAUUUAUUAGAUAAAAAGCCGACAUUACUUCGGUGAAUCAUAAUAACUUUGCGAAUCGCAUGAGCUUGACUCGGCGAUGCUUCAUUCAAAUUUCUGCCCUAUCAACUUUCGAUGGUAGUAUAGAGGACUACCAUGGUGAUAACGGGUAACGGGGAAUUAGGGUUCGAUUCCGGAGAGGGAGCCUGAGAAAUGGCUACCACUUCUAAGGAAGGCAGCAGG